UGCGUUGUUGGGUAGGGGAGCGUUCUGUAAGCCUGCGAAGGUGUGCUGUGAGGCAUGCUGGAGGUAUCAGAAGUGCGAAUGCUGACAUAAGUAACGAUAAAGCGGGUGAAAAGCCCGCUCGCCGGAAGACCAAGGGUUCCUGUCCAACGUUAAUCGGGGCAGGGUGAGUCGACCCCUAAGGCGAGGCCGAAAGGCGUAGUCGAUGGGAAACAGGUUAAUAUUCCUGUACUUGGUGUUACUGCGAAGGGGGGACGGAGAAGGCUAUGUUGGCCGGGCGACGGUUGUCCCGGUUUAAGCGUGUAGGCUGGUUUUCCAGGCAAAUCCGGAAAAUCAAGGCUGAGGCGUGAUGACGAGGCACUACGGUGCUGAAGCAACAAAUGCCCUGCUUCCAGGAAAAGCCUCUAAGCAUCAGGUAACAUCAAAUCGUACCCCAAACCGACACAGGUGGUCAGGUAGAGAAUACCAAGGCGCUUGAGAGAACUCGGGUGAAGGAACUAGGCAAAAUGGUGCCGUAACUUCGGGAGAAGGCACGC
RNAcentral lists this ribosomal RNA (533 nucleotides) under Escherichia coli. RNAcentral describes it as "partial 23S ribosomal RNA". It matches the Rfam family "Bacterial large subunit ribosomal RNA", at positions 1217 to 1751 of the family's 2925-position model. The record is from RNAcentral. Lineage: Bacteria; Pseudomonadati; Pseudomonadota; Gammaproteobacteria; Enterobacterales; Enterobacteriaceae.